This 506-nucleotide ribosomal RNA is filed under the name uncultured bacterium. RNAcentral describes it as "partial 16S ribosomal RNA". It matches the Rfam family "Bacterial small subunit ribosomal RNA", at positions 29 to 523 of the family's 1533-position model. The record is from RNAcentral.
AGUGAACGCUGGCGGUAGGCCUAACACAUGCAAGUCGAACGGCAGCACAGGAGAGCUUGCUCUCUGGGUGGCGAGUGGCGGACGGGUGAGGAAUACAUCGGAAUCUACUCUGUCGUGGGGGAUAACGUAGGGAAACUUACGCUAAUACCGCAUACGACCUACGGGUGAAAGCAGGGGACCUUCGGGCCUUGCGCGAUUGAAUGAGCCGAUGUCGGAUUAGCUAGUUGGCGGGGUAAAGGCCCACCAAGGCGACGAUCCGUAGCUGGUCUGAUAGGAUGAUCAGCCACACUGGAACUGAGACACGGUCCAGACACAUACGGGAGGCAGCAGUGGGGAAUAUUGGAGAAUGGGCGAAAGCCUGAUCCAGCCAUACCGCGUGGGUGAAGAAGGCCUUCGGGUUGUAAAGCCCUUUUGUUGGGAAAGAAAUCCAGCUGGCUAAUACCCGGUUGGGAUGACGGUACCCAAAGAAUAAGCACCGGCUAACUUCGUGCCAGCCGCCGCGGUAA